RNAcentral lists this ribosomal RNA (253 nucleotides) under uncultured bacterium. RNAcentral describes it as "partial 16S ribosomal RNA". It matches the Rfam family "Bacterial small subunit ribosomal RNA", at positions 524 to 776 of the family's 1533-position model. The record is from RNAcentral.
UACGGAGGGUGCAAGCGUUAAUCGGAAUUACUGGGCGUAAAGCGCACGCAGGUGGCUGAGUCAGUCGAUUGUGAAAGCCCUGGGCUUAACCUGGGAAUUGCAGUCGAUACUACUCAGCUAGAGUAUGGGAGAGGGCAGUGGAAUUCCCGGUGUAGCGGUGAAAUGCGUAGAUAUCGGGAGGAACAUCAGUGGCGAAGGCGGCUGCCUGGCCCAAUACUGACACUGAGGAGCGAAAGCGUGGGGAGCGAUCCGG